AAUGGCCUUGAAUGGCACUCUGCUCUCCUUUCUCCAAUGUUAUACUUGGUUUUCUUUUUCAGUUCUGGAAUCAGCUAGACAAUUAUUUCCUGCGGGAGGUAUCAGCUUUUCAUCUUUUCCGUCUGCUUCUCUGUCAGUCCUCAGGCCCCAGCUCAGUGGGGACGGAGCGGAGAGCUAGACCCAGAGAGAGCGGGGCCCAUCCAAAUGUCACCUUUGCAGGAGGCUGGAAGGUGGUGGUACUUCACCUCUCCCCUGCAAGGUGGGACCAGCCCUAGAGGAAGGAGCCAGACCAGCACCUAAGGCAUCUUGGGGUGGCCCAGAUGUAACUGGGCUCAUUCUUUCCUCCAAUAACCGGAAAAAAAAAUACUCUGAGACCUGCCCAUCCGCACAGAGGACUCAGCAAAGGAGAGAGACCAGCACCAUCUUGGAUCGCCUGCCGCCUGCCUCCUCCCCAUCACCUCUAGCCCCAUCCUCACUGAUGCUGGGGGCCACCUUCAGCUCUGUGCACCACUUGGCCCCGAGGAAUUUUCUUAAGGAGGCUCCACACCCAAUGUGGGGCUUGAACUCACGACCUUGAGAUCAGGAGUCGCAUAUGCUACCGACUGAGCCAGCCGGGCACCCCUCUUAGUUUAUACUUAAGAACAACGUUGUGCUCUAGGCAGAAAAGCACAUCCGUCAUCCCCAAAGAGAGGAGUAAGUCAUCGAGGCAGUUAUUUUAGCUUCAGCCACCUGAUGGACUCUUAUUUAUGGCUUCUUCGUUGUACGUAUGCUUGGUUUUGAGGUGUCUUACCAAUAGUAUUACUAAGUCCUUCAUUUCCUAUAUGCACAAAAGCAGUGAGAUUGUUGAACGUGCCACUUAAGAGAUGUAUCUGCUCAUAAUGGAAAUGAGAGCAAAGAUUAUUUUUUUAAAGUUGAAAGUGAGAAAAUGCAAAAUUCUCCAUGUGCCUUUGAGGCAAAGCAUUGGAGAGUGGGGAUGACGAUACAUAUAAAGUGCUUAGAAACAACCUUUGCACAUAGUAAGCACCCAAGAAGUAUCUUCCAUUACCACCACCACCACCAUCAUCAUCAUCAUCAUCAUCAUGCGGAACAAGGAGGGAAUCAUAUAGUAUAUGGAAGAUUUUGAGCUGAUGCACUCUGCAGUUACAGCCAGAGGCAAGGACAACUGAAAAGCAAAUUGGAGAAAAUCCCAAGGAUGUGGCCACAGCUGAGCAUCAGCCUUGGCGACCUCAUGCAAAUUUAGGACCCUGCUGGGGAUUGGAGAACACAAGGGCUUAGCUUAUGGGAAGUGGAAAUUGCCAUUGGGCGAUGUUUGUUGCAAACCAUGGAGGUCCCAUGGAUUUAAGGUUCAUUUAAAUGUGUUCCUUGGGUGAUCGGGCUCUGGAUCCCAUAAGGUCUCUGAGACACUCAGGGACACCAUCUGGGGCAGAAGGGUCAUUUGCCUAAACAGAUUUCCAAAUUGCGAAGGAGAAGAAUGUAUGAGAGCAGCAAGGAGCGUGGUGGCUUUGCACGUGGAUACUGCAAAUGUAAACUCUUAUUGGACACCUCAGACUGAUAAAUUUUAUAUCAACCACUCACCUUUGUUGAGCAUGUAUGAUGCGCCCAGACUGUGUUCUAAGUAUAUUUCGUGGACGUUCACCCAAACUCUAAGAGCGAGAUACUGUUGUGUUCCCAUGUUACAGAUGUGGAAUCUGAGGCGCAACUUGCUUAAGGGAUCCAGCCAGUCAAUUUUGCAAGCAAGAGGUCAAUCAGGCAGUCUGCCUCCAAAGCGCAUGCUUUUACCUAACUGAUUUACAAAUGUCCUUUUAACAUGACCUAUUUUUAAGCAUAAAAGUUUCCACAUUAUCAUGACACCUAUCACUCUUAGGGAAGCAUGGCUGUUGAAGGCGAGGAGAAAGCCAUUUGAUUUAGAAAGAAGCACAUCAUUGACCCUUGAGUGGGUGGUUUCUGCAAAGCACUGGGAUGGCAGCCAGACUGUCAGGGCUUACCGGAGUCAAGGGAGGUGAGAGAAGGAAGGCCUCCAUGUAUAUAUCACUUCCGGGAGUUUGGCAGUAAUAGGCGAGAAAGAACUAGAAUUACAGCUACAGGGAGCAGCCGACCAUGUGAAGGCUUGUUUUUUUUUCUUCUCCCCAAGGUGAUUGAAGACACAUUGGAAAGAAGGAGAGGGUGCUGGUGGGGGGGAAGAAGAUAAAGAUGUUGAAGAGGAAGGCAAGAUGUUGCGAAUAAACAUCUGGGAAGGGAGAGCACUCGGGGUUAGAGAGCAGAGGGUUUGAAGUCCGGCUGAAUUUGGAAGAGAUGUUUUGGGUUUUACUUGUUAGUGAUCCCCUGAUGAAUCAUGGUUUAAAUUUUCCAUUAUCUGGACUCACCUUGUCCUGAAAGCCCACAUUCUCCUGGUGUGGAUGGUCCGUUAUCUAAUUUUAGGAGAAGUGGGUGUGUGUCCCACAGCUGUUACUCGAUAGCUGUGUGUUCUUGGACAGAUAAGUCUCUUCUUGUCUCUGAGCCUCAAUUUCCCCAUCUGUGGAGUGGCGGAGGCCAACUACAGGUCCUGGGUCCUUCCACCUGCAACGGGAUGAACUUCCGAUAUGAACAGAAAAAUAUCCUGCCAUUUUAGGGAAGAGAUUAAUUCCCUUAUUGUGUGAUUUUUGUUUGGGUGGGAGAAGCAACCACAGUCGCUUCCCUCUGCAGGAGAGCGGGUGAUUUGACCAGAACUUAAAGUGGGUCUGCAUUAUUUAUAAAUGUGUGUAAUGUUCGUUCAAAUGGAUUAAUUUGUUACCAAGAUUCUAAGGGCAUCAUUCUAAAUACUAUAAAAACGUAUGUCCUUCACUAGCCAUAUACAUACCUGAGGCUCAGGUAUGCUCUCUGGUUGCUGGAGAGAAGUGCACUGUCAUUUGAAUACACAAGUCCACCCACUGGGAGUGGGAUUGCCAAUCUCCCUAAGAGCCUAGUUCUCAGGAAGGAGGACAAAAGGGUGUACUUUUGCUGCCAACCACCUGUUGUUAACAGCAUUUAAUGAGUAGAAUUUCCCCCACCAGAACUAUAACUCGACAGAUGCAUAGAGUGCCUACUGUGUGUCAGGCACCAAACAGGAAAAUGGGGACCGUAGAUAUCAGUCUUGCUGAUCAAAGCCUGUAACCACAAUAAAAACACAAAACAGGAAACCA
Herpailurus yagouaroundi (jaguarundi) is the source of this 3158-nucleotide long non-coding RNA. RefSeq lists it as uncharacterized. The transcript is spliced from 3 exons. Lineage: Eukaryota; Metazoa; Chordata; Mammalia; Carnivora; Felidae. The record is from RefSeq and is a predicted model, not a curated record.